This 439-nucleotide ribosomal RNA is filed under the name uncultured bacterium. Its description in RNAcentral is "bacterial SSU rRNA". It matches the Rfam family "Bacterial small subunit ribosomal RNA", at positions 340 to 773 of the family's 1533-position model. The record is from RNAcentral.
UACGGGAGGCAGCAGUGGGGAAUAUUGCACAAUGGGCGCAAGCCUGAUGCAGCCAUGCCGCGUGUAUGAAAAAGGCCUUCGGGUUGUAAAGUACUUUCAGUCGUGAGGAAGGUGUUAAGGUUAAUAACCUUAGCAAUUGACGUUAGCGACAGAAGAAGCACCGGCUAACUCCGUGCCAGCAGCCGCGGUAAUACGGAGGGUGCGAGCGUUAAUCGGAAUUACUGGGCGUAAAGGGCACGCAGGCGGUUAAUUAAGUUGGAUGUGAAAUCCCCGGGCUUAACCUGGGAAUGGCAUUCAAGACUGGUUAGCUAGAGUCUUGUAGAGGGGGUAGAAUUCCAUGUGUAGCGGCGAAAUGCGUAGAGAUGUGGAGGAAUACCGGUGGCGAAGGCGGCCCCUGGACAAAGGCUGACGCUCAUGUGCGAAAGCGUGGGGAGCAAAC